RNAcentral lists this ribosomal RNA (460 nucleotides) under uncultured bacterium. RNAcentral's name for it is "partial 16S ribosomal RNA". It matches the Rfam family "Bacterial small subunit ribosomal RNA", at positions 338 to 795 of the family's 1533-position model. The record is from RNAcentral.
CCUACGGGAGGCAGCAGUGAGGAAUAUUGGUCAAUGGACGAGAGUCUGAACCAGCCAAGUAGCGUGAAGGAUGACUGCCCUAUGGGUUGUAAACUUCUUUUAUAUGGGAAUAAAAUGUUCCACGUGUGGGAUUUUGUAUGUACCAUAUGAAUAAGGAUCGGCUAACUCCGUGCCAGCAGCCGCGGUAAUACGGAGGAUCCGAGCGUUAUCCGGAUUUAUUGGGUUUAAAGGGAGCGUAGGUGGAGUGUUAAGUCAGUUGUGAAAGUUUGGGGCUCAACCGUAAAAUUGCAGUUGAAACUGGCAGUCUUGAGUACAGUAGAGGUGGGCGGAAUGCGUGGUGUAGCGGUGAAAUGCUUAGAUAUCACGAAGAACUCCGAUUGCGAAGGCAGUUCACUGGACUGCAACUGACACUGAGGCUCGAAAGUGUGGGUAUCAAACAGGAUUAGAUACCCGGGUAGUC